This 1233-nucleotide long non-coding RNA is filed under the name Oryctolagus cuniculus (rabbit). Its description in RNAcentral is "lncRNA (ENSOCUG00000036007.1)". Lineage: Eukaryota; Metazoa; Chordata; Mammalia; Lagomorpha; Leporidae. The record is from RNAcentral.
AUGGGGGUCCUCCUAAGAGUUCACUCUCAGCGCCACUUCUCAGCCGCUGGGCCUUGGCACCGGACCUCCAGGAACCUAGAAAACCCUGCUCGCCCCUCCUCCAGCUGCCUGAGGACCCCAUCCCAGGAAGCCUCCGGGAAGCGCCCCCUCCCCUUCCUCCCCAGGAGGUCGGAGCUCCGUGCCCUUCUCCGCGGCUGCAGGGUGCGGAGCGAGCGGGGGCCUCGCCCGCCUUGUAGCCCGCGUUCCCGCUCCCUGUGCAAGUCCCGCACCAGGGCCUCGGGCCCCCGCACACCUCCGCCGCACCGGCCUCCCUGGCCCGCUCCUGGGGUCUCCCGAUCGACCGCAAGCUCGGGGCUUCACUCCGCGCCGCCCCCUCCCCAAGCCCAGAGCGCUUCCCCGGGGCGGAGGGGGUCGGCAGGUGUCAGGAGGAGCCCCCCUUCCCACCUGGGGAGACCGACUGCGAGGGCCGGGGCGCCGGGGCCUCGGUGGGGCGGGGGCUGGCCCGGGAAUUCAGGGAAUCGAUCGUCUUCUGGGAAGCGUGACCGUGAAACCCCGACUUGGGAGCCUCAGGCGGGGCGUCAGCCCCUGAGGGGAGGCUCGGGAUGGGGUCUGGAGGCUCGCGGCAGGGCACUGACCCCUCGGCAACUGGGCGGUCCGACCCGGCCCGCCGCCCUUCCCCUGACAGGGUGGCCAGGGGCUGCGGCCUCUUUAAGGUCCGACCUCCUCCCACCUCCUCAGAGCCGCUCCGCCAGUUCCAGACUUCCCUCCGCGAUGAGGUCAUCUCCCCGCCGCCCAUUGGCUGCGCCGCGCUGUCAGUCACAGGAAGUCGCGCCGCCGUCCCCUCCUCGCUCGUUCCCCUUCCUUCCCCGAACGCCCCUCUGGGCCGAGGAGCCCUGCCCCGACUGGGCCUCUGAUUGGCCAGCUGCGCUGCCACUCCUCCGGCGGGGCGGGGCGGGAGGCGGGAGGCGGCUGUGGUGGGAGGGCCCGCAGCUUCCGUGGCUAAGAGGAGCCGGCGGCGGCUGUGUCUGUGGUGGCCCCGGCGGCGGCGGCGGCGAGCGCGACCGGCCCUGCCUCCCCACCCCCUCGGCUCGGCUCGCCACACGCCCUCGGCGCGCGCCGACCUCUCCCCGGCCCCGCGCGCCCUGCUUGGACGGUGAGCCUCGGGAGGAGCCGCGAGCGGCCGGAGCCGAGCCGGGCGAGCCGCGGAGCCCGGGCCAGGAGAGCGCCGCGUGA